RNAcentral lists this ribosomal RNA (242 nucleotides) under uncultured bacterium. RNAcentral describes it as "partial 16S ribosomal RNA". It matches the Rfam family "Bacterial small subunit ribosomal RNA", at positions 529 to 770 of the family's 1533-position model. The record is from RNAcentral.
AGGGAGCGAGCGUUAUCCGGAUUUAUUGGGUGUAAAGGGUGCGUAGACGGGUUAGCAAGUUAGUUGUGAAAUCCCUCGGCUUAACUGAGGAACUGCAACUAAAACUGCCAAUCUUGAGUGCAGGAGAGGUAAGUGGAAUUCCUAGUGUAGCGGUGAAAUGCGUAGAUAUUAGGAGGAACACCAGUGGCGAAGGCGACUUACUGGACUGUAACUGACGUUGAGGCACGAAAGCGUGGGUAUCG